AGGUCGAUCUUAUUUAUGUGAAAAAGAUUCUGAAAAAUCAAGCAGUACAAUUGAGCUCUGUUCAUGUUAAAUAAUCGAUGAAGAAGAAGAACUUAACUACCUAACUCAUGCUAACCACUUCUAACUACAAGCAUGCUGAGUCACCUACCACGUGUGCUGCUGUAAUUAUAAGCAAAAAAGGAAAAACGUUACUCUCACCAAGUGUCUUCUUCAACCUCCUUCUUCAUCUACUGCUGUUGUGAGCUUGUGCUUGCUGGCUGCAGCUGUCUAUCUUAACAUCCCCCCCCCACCCCAAGAUGGACUUGGGGAAAAUAGCUCAAACCCAUCUUGGACAACAAACCAGAGAAGACAAAGGCAGGGAGGAGCUUUGUGAAUAUAUCUGCUAGUUGGGAGCGACUGGAAAUUGGAGAAGGGAGGAGGAAACUAGAUUUGAAGUGAUAACGGAUCAAGUGACAGUCGAUUUCAAGGUGUUAGGUGCGCUCGUGGAAGACGGGAUUAGCCACAAUGUGAAGGAAAGUUUGAUUAUCACAAUAAAGAGGAAUUAGAGUAGAAAUAGGAACAUGAAAAUCCUGGAGCAUGUAAGAAAUCCAGCAAAGUUCACAGGCAGUGGCCCCAAGACUGAGAUACUCCGCCUCAGCUGUGGAGCGAGCAACGGUGGUAUAUUUUUUUAUUUUCCAUGAAAUGAGAGAGUGGCCCAGAAAGAUGCAGUAACCUGUUAAGGAGCUUAUGGAGUCGACACAAUUCGCCCAAUCAGCAUCACAGUACCCCUUGAGCUGAAAAGAGGAAGAAACAGGGAAGAAAAUGCCCUGGUCUGAAUGGCUUUUAAGGUAGCGCACCAAAUGCAAAGUUGCGUCCAUGUGAUCUUGCCUGGGAUCAUUGACAAAUUGGCUAAGUUGCUGGGCAGCGAAGGAUACAUCAGGGCGAGUAAAGCCAAGUUUUUUGAAAUAUAAUUCUGUCUAAAGUGGCAGACCACCAAACAGUCUAGCAAGGUUUAAUCCAUCUAUUUAUACCAACUUGGCAGGCUCAAAAGCACAAUCCAGCAAGACGACUCAGUAGAUAACGGGGACAAUACAUCAUACGUACUUUUGCCAUCGUGAGACUAGGCAUGACAAAAGAGUCGAGCCAUGGAGAACUCUAAGGUAAGACGAUAA
Long non-coding RNA from Sesamum indicum (sesame), 1151 nucleotides. RefSeq lists it as uncharacterized. Lineage: Eukaryota; Viridiplantae; Streptophyta; Magnoliopsida; Lamiales; Pedaliaceae. The record is from RefSeq and is a predicted model, not a curated record.